GCGGACGUGUCCGAGUGGUUAAGGAGAACGAUUAGAAAGCGUUUGGGCUCUGCCCGCACAGGUUCGAAUCCUGUCGUCCGCG
Molecule: non-coding RNA, 82 nt
Organism: Cyanidioschyzon merolae strain 10D
Lineage: Eukaryota; Rhodophyta; Bangiophyceae; Cyanidiales; Cyanidiaceae
Source: the annotation of a RefSeq genome assembly